GUAGGGCUGGAGGCCUGACCACCAGUUAGGAGAGCAAUUAUAGGCAUAGGAGGCAGGGCUGGAGGCCUGGCCACCAGUUAGGGGAGUGAUCAUGGGCGUAGGAGGCAGGCCUGGAGCCCUGACCACGGGUUAGGAGGGUGACCAUGAGCAAGAGAUGAUCAGGCAGAAGGCUGUGAUGGGGAAAGGAGCACAUGGACAGGCAUUAAGCUGACAACUGUCAAGAACUGUCCCCUGCCAUUUCACCUGAGCUGACCUGAUCUCCCCAGGGGAAUGAGCCUCGUCUUGCAAGUCCCCUUCUUUGGGUCCCUGGCAGCGCUGCUGCAGGAUACAAGGAACAGGAUGCUAUGACGAGAUAUGCAUUGAGAAGCUUCAGUCCUGCCUCCAUCCUUAUCUUCUUCUCCCUGGACCAAAAGUGAUAAUUGUCAUUUGAUCCUUAUUUAUUUUUAGAAAUAAAACUCUUAUGCAGAUACCAACACAUACAAAUCUGUAUUCUUAUACCCUCUAUUUCUUACACACAAGACAAGGGAAACCAAGAAUGAUCUGGAUAAUGGAGAAACCUGUUAAUACAACUGGAUUUGAAUCACACUACUGGCUGAAAUUCACACAACCGGAUUGGGAUCCCACUGUGUAAUUUUAGCCCAGCACUUGGAAUGAUGCUGUCCCACAGAGGACACUCAGUAAAUGCAGUGUCUGCGUCAAUGACUAAAGAACCCAGAAACCCGCUUGCCUGUCCCCUAUAUUGGAUGCUCAAGCAUCAUGGCAUCAUUUCCAGUGGAGUCGCUGAACUUGUAGGUUGUCUACCUGACACCUCGAGGUCCUUACACCAAGAAGUCAGCUGUGAAGCCCGCUGAGUCCUCGGGUGGAUGUCUGCCACCACAUACAUAGCCUUUGCUGGUGGCUUGGAGAGCUGGCAGGUCAGCCACAGAAAGUGGGCAAGACCUAGUCAGUAGCGACAGGAUAUGUUCCCAGGAUGGACAGCUGCCUGAUAUGCGUUCAGUUCCAGUGCCAAAGCCAAGGGCUGCCAGUGCCCUUCCUUCAUGCUAAGGACUUCUCUCUCUCCAGGACAGCGGAUGCCUGUUUGGAAGGCUGGAUUGGACUGAGCCACAUGGCAGAGCCUUGGAGAUGGCAGGGGAGGGAAGUCGAAGACAUGGAGUGGUUUGACAUUUGUGCAUAGUAUGAAGAAAGAUCAUCAAGGCUGAAAUGUGUCUGCUAAGAGGCUUCAGCUCAUGUUUGCUAAUCUCCUGUAUGGUGAAACACUGGCACCCAGACAAACCCUCAUUCACAUCAGAACAAAGCGCUAGUUAUGUGUGUUGAAAUUCCUUAAAGAAAAUGUCUUGCAGGCUGCUGGGGAGUGCGUGAAUGCUGGAAAUGCUUCACCAAGAGUUACUCAAUGUCCUGGGAAGACGGUCUGCUGGCAUCUGAGGGCUCACCCUAGAGAAGAGUGGUUGUACUCCAGGGCACAUGGGUCUGGUGAGGACAGAGAAGCAUGGGUGGAUGGGUGGGUGGAGAUGAGGGUGGAUGUUUUCUCUGUAAUCGUCUCCGGCCAGGCUGGAGCCCGAACCAGACUACCCACUUUAUUAGUCCAUUGAGAAUAUCUAAAGUCAGGCUUCUCAGCACAGCUGCCAUUUCCCCUGCUUGGGACCAGAUUUUCCUGUUUUCUGAGGGCUUCCAAGUAAGUUGGAAGUUCCUUGGGUUUCCACAACUUUGACUUAAUGAAGAAACAAGGUCAAGAAUCAGAGGAAAGGUUUUUGGAUGGGCCUCAGAGGUCUGAAAUGGUUAGGUGGGAGUCUAAAGGUAUAGGAGAGAAACUAAAUCAGUUGUAGCCCCAGCUGUUUGGAGAUGAUGCCAGCAGAUGGGAUUGAGUAAGCGACCACAGGUUGCAGAGGGUGGCAGAUGGGAGGCGGAUGUGGAAAUGGGGUCCCAGUCAGAAAUGAACACCACUAGAGGAGCAGGAAGAAGGGCCAAGCAAGAGCAGUGGUUCUCAUUGUGGUUUCUGGACUAGCGGCGGCAGCAGCACCCACGAUGUAGAUGUCAACUCUUAACUCCACUCGGAAACCCACUGAAUCAGAAACUCAGGUGGUGAAGCCCAACCAGCGGUACUUGAAUAAGUCCUCCAGUGAGUCUGAUGGACACUAAAGUUUAAGAACCACUGAGUCAGGGAACCCCAAGGGAGGCAAUUGCUAAGGAACUGCAAGAGAGGAAUUAGGGGCUGGGCCAGGGGCCAGGCGCGGUGGCUCACACCUGUAAUCCCAGCACUUUGAGAGGCUGAGGCAGGAGAAUGGCUUGAGCCCAGGAGUUCAAGACUAGCCUGGGCAACAUAGUGAAACCCUGACUCUACAAAGAACACAAAAUUGGCCAGGCAUGGUGGUAGCCACCUGCAGUCCUAACUACUCGGGAGGAUCACUUGAGCCUGGGAGAUGGAGGUUGCAGUGAGCUGAGAUCACACCUCUGGGCUACAGCCUGGGUGAUAGAGCAAGACCCCAUCUCAAAAAAAAAAAAAAAAAAGACGGCAGGAUUAGGGAAACUUCUAGAAUGAGGAGGAGAUGGCCCUGAAAGCACAGGGGGACAAGGAGAGUGAACUGAAAAGUAGAAAGAAGUUCUUCUCCAUAAGAAAAAAAGGUGAUGAGAGCUACAAUAAAAAACUACUAGUCACAACGGCUGCAGCUCAAGGUAGCCUGGAUUCUUGAUAAGCACACACCCGCCACUGGUGUCACGCUGAAGCUGGAAGGACCGCCUCUGCUAACAACAGUGAAGAACAAAUGUGGAUGCAAAUGGCUCUUAGAAGUCAGACAAAGGGAAGUUGCAUUGCUGAGAUUCACCUGCAGGUCCCAGCAUGGCUCAUUUGUUCUCUGGAGUAGUGGGUUGAAUGGUAGCCCCCCGCCCCCAUAGAUAUCCUAACCCCUAGAAUCUGUGAACGUGAUCUUAUUGUGGCAGCAGGCCUGUAAUCCAAGCUACUCUGGAAGCUGAAGGGGGAGGAUUUCUUGAGGCCAGAGGUUCGAGACCGGCCUAGGCAACAUAGCAAGAGACCCCUUCCAUCUCCAAAAAAUGAAGGAUAUCCAGAUGAGAUCAUCCUGGAUUAUCUGAGUGGGUCUUAAAUCCAAUGACAUCCAAAUUUAUAAGAGAUGAAAGAGGAGGAAAAGAGAGAUAUGCAGAGGAGAAGGUGAUGGGAAGAUGGAGGCAGGAAUUGGAGUGACACAUCCAUAAACAUGUAGACAUAAAGGGAAUGCCUGUAGUCACCAGCAGUGGGAAGAGGUAAGGCGGGAUUGUCCCGCAGAGCCUUCAGAGGAGGCAUGGCCCUGCUAACACCUUGAUUUUUGGACUUCUGACCUCCAGAAAUGAAAGAAAAUAAAUUACUAUUGCUUUAAGCCACCAAAUUUGUGGUGAUUUAUUAUAGCAGCUCUAGGAAAUUAAUAUACCUGGCUUAAGGGAAGAGGCAUGGGAUUUGAAGACAGACAGACUGGUGUCUUGAACUUUUUGAAUGUUACUCCCUAGGGUGGGAUGUGAACUCUGAGUCACAGCAGUCCCCACGUGGCUUGAGUCCCUCAUUACUUUAGCUAUCUGCCUCCUAUGAGCAUCUUAGCUUUGUAUCCUCUGGGUAACUUCACCUCUCCAGUCUUCUCCACCUUUGACAUCUUAUUAUUCCAGCAAGGGGGGUGGGGAAGGUGGAUUACCUCAAAUCUUUGGAGCAAUGUUUGGGGAUGAUGUAGUCUACCAUCCUUUGAAUAGCUUGGCUGAUUUACCAUUGAGGAAGAAAGAAAUUUCUUCUUGAGAUGUAGUGUGAUGCCUUUUUCAGAACCAGCCACUCUAGUGAUUUUUAAUAAAAAAAAUUAUUGUCUCAUGGCUGGGUUUCUGUCAUUCCUUCCAGAAGGUGGGAGGCUGUGAGUUUGGAAAAUUAGUGUCUGGUGACUGUGGGUGAGAAGGCCCUUUCCUACAUAACAGAAGAAAUAAACAC
RNAcentral lists this long non-coding RNA (3952 nucleotides) under Homo sapiens (human). RNAcentral describes it as "HSALNT0134726". The record is from RNAcentral. Lineage: Eukaryota; Metazoa; Chordata; Mammalia; Primates; Hominidae.